This 1217-nucleotide ribosomal RNA is filed under the name Pseudomonas aeruginosa. RNAcentral's name for it is "bacterial LSU rRNA". It matches the Rfam family "Bacterial large subunit ribosomal RNA", at positions 1728 to 2925 of the family's 2925-position model. The record is from RNAcentral. Lineage: Bacteria; Pseudomonadati; Pseudomonadota; Gammaproteobacteria; Pseudomonadales; Pseudomonadaceae.
CCGUAACUUCGGGAGAAGGUGCGCCGGCUAGGGUGAAGGAUUUACUCCGUAAGCUCUGGCUGGUCGAAGAUACCAGGCCGCUGCGACUGUUUAUUAAAAACACAGCACUCUGCAAACACGAAAGUGGACGUAUAGGGUGUGACGCCUGCCCGGUGCCGGAAGGUUAAUUGAUGGGGUUAGCGCAAGCGAAGCUCUUGAUCGAAGCCCCGGUAAACGGCGGCCGUAACUAUAACGGUCCUAAGGUAGCGAAAUUCCUUGUCGGGUAAGUUCCGACCUGCACGAAUGGCGUAACGAUGGCGGCGCUGUCUCCACCCGAGACUCAGUGAAAUUGAAAUCGCUGUGAAGAUGCAGUGUAUCCGCGGCUAGACGGAAAGACCCCGUGAACCUUUACUGUAGCUUUGCACUGGACUUUGAGCCUGCUUGUGUAGGAUAGGUGGGAGGCUUUGAAGCGUGGACGCCAGUUCGCGUGGAGCCAUCCUUGAAAUACCACCCUGGCAUGCUUGAGGUUCUAACUCUGGUCCGUAAUCCGGAUCGAGGACAGUGUAUGGUGGGCAGUUUGACUGGGGCGGUCUCCUCCUAAAGAGUAACGGAGGAGUACGAAGGUGCGCUCAGACCGGUCGGAAAUCGGUCGCAGAGUAUAAAGGCAAAAGCGCGCUUGACUGCGAGACAGACACGUCGAGCAGGUACGAAAGUAGGUCUUAGUGAUCCGGUGGUUCUGUAUGGAAGGGCCAUCGCUCAACGGAUAAAAGGUACUCCGGGGAUAACAGGCUGAUACCGCCCAAGAGUUCAUAUCGACGGCGGUGUUUGGCACCUCGAUGUCGGCUCAUCACAUCCUGGGGCUGAAGCCGGUCCCAAGGGUAUGGCUGUUCGCCAUUUAAAGUGGUACGCGAGCUGGGUUUAGAACGUCGUGAGACAGUUCGGUCCCUAUCUGCCGUGGACGUUUGAGAUUUGAGAGGGGCUGCUCCUAGUACGAGAGGACCGGAGUGGACGAACCUCUGGUGUUCCGGUUGUCACGCCAGUGGCAUUGCCGGGUAGCUAUGUUCGGAAAAGAUAACCGCUGAAAGCAUCUAAGCGGGAAACUUGCCUCAAGAUGAGAUCUCACUGGGAACUUGAUUCCCCUGAAGGGCCGUCGAAGACUACGACGUUGAUAGGCUGGGUGUGUAAGCGUUGUGAGGCGUUGAGCUAACCAGUACUAAUUGCCCGUGAGGCUUGACCAU